This 66-nucleotide transfer RNA is filed under the name Marmota monax (woodchuck). Its description in RNAcentral is "tRNA.Ala". Lineage: Eukaryota; Metazoa; Chordata; Mammalia; Rodentia; Sciuridae. The record is from RNAcentral.
GUUGUGGCUCAGUGGUAGAGCACUUGCCUAGCAUUUGCGAGGCACUGGGUUCAAUUCUCAGCAACA